Asparagus officinalis (garden asparagus) is the source of this 1664-nucleotide long non-coding RNA. RefSeq lists it as uncharacterized. The transcript is spliced from 3 exons. The record is from RefSeq and is a predicted model, not a curated record. Lineage: Eukaryota; Viridiplantae; Streptophyta; Magnoliopsida; Asparagales; Asparagaceae.
GCUAAUUGCAUGAUUUUGUUGCUAAUGUAAAGGAUAGUUUGUUCGUUGGAGGAAGCUCAAUUUUGGCUUUUUCCUUAGGUUUAUUUUGUUGGAUGCUUGAAAUUAGAGCUGCUAGAUUCAGCAUAAACUGAUAAGAUAACUUCAUAUAAUCACUUGUUCCUGUAUUUUUCUUUAACUGUGAGCUUUAAGGCGAUCUCUGCGUAUCUAUCUUUCUUUGAGUUAAGAGUUGCUUUGGUAUAAUAAUUAUAGAAUUGCAGCCAUUAAAGCACUAAAGUCUUAGUUCAGUUUAUAUUAUUUUCCGUUUAUUUACAGACGGAGAUAAUUUGUUUAGUUUUGGUUUAGUUUGCUUCAUAUGAGAAAUGAUCUGCGUUGUGUGUUCUUUAGCUUUUCAUGUUUCACUUUAUUUUAACGUGUUGACCUUGAUACAUAAGCUUUUGGCAUUGUGCAAAUGGCAUAUGCGAAUGGUGUUUCAACACAUUACCUCAAACAACUAGGCUUGGAAGUUGUGUUUACUCUAACUGGUGUGAAGUAUUUGCACAAGAAAGCUUCAGAAUAUGACAUCGGGAUCUAUUUUAAGCAAAUGGUCAUGGAACGAUUCUAUUUUCAGAAGAUUUUAUAUCUAUCCUACAUGAUGUGGAGAAAGAGCUUGCUUCUUUCAGUUUUAUUUGAUUGUAUAAUGGUCUACUAAGAGCAUACAUCUCCUGAUUCUAGUCAUAUUUAAUUCCAACUUGCAUGCAUUUCUGUAUGCACUAUAUUCUGUAUGCACUAUAUUACUUCAAACAACUAUAUUUUGUAUGCACUAUUUUUAAAUUUUAACCUUACAAAUAGGCGUUUAAUAAUUAUUUUUUCUCUAUUAUCCUUGUAGUUCCAAACAUUGCGUGCAAUGGUCCAAACAAAUCCACAGAUUUUAUAGGUCUGUAUCUCUCUCUACAAGAGAGGACUUGACUGAUCUUGCAAAUUUAGUGUUCCACUACAAAGUGUUUCUCUUUGUGCAGCCAAUGCUUCAAGAACUAAGCAAGCAGAAUCCAGCAUCAUGCAGAAUUUCUUCAGUUAAUAAAUGGAUGUGAACUUGUGAAAAUAGCUCUUAUAAAUAUAUUUUGAAAGCUUAACUGCUUAAACAAUGUACUCUAAUUCUUAUUCAUAUAUUUUGAAAUUCUUUGCAUGGAGUAUUCUGACCUUUAAACUUUGAAACAUGCAUCUACAUUUAGUAUCCUCUAGCUUGUCGGUCAAAUUGAAUUUUCUAGGAUCUUAAAUCUCUCUCGUCUCAGAAAUAAAUACGAGUCGUUCUGGUAAUGUGAAGUGUCCGCCUGGCUGAACAGGAAGCCAUAGCAUAGAAAGGUUGGAAGCAAUGGGCUUUGAUCGUGGGCAUGUCAUCGAAGCAUUUUUAGCCUGUGAUAGGAAUGAGGAGUUGACUGCAAAUUAUUUGUUAGAACAUGCUGGUGAUUAAGAGUGAAGGAUUUGGACCAAGGGCAUUGAUGGGUUCUGAAGAGAUAAAGCAAGCACUCUUUAGGAAUGCAGACUAUGAGGGGAGAUGCUUGUGAAUAGAAUCUCUGAAUUGGAAGCGGAUUAGUUGUACUGUUAAGAGGGAAAAAAUAACUUUUAAAGUAUGCUUUAUAUGUAUAUUGAAUAAGUAUUGGAAGUUCAAUGUUGUAAUUGUUUGUUUU